AUUGAACGCUGGCGGCAGGCCUAACACAUGCAAGUCGAGCGGAUGAAGGGAGCUUGCUCCUGGAUUCAGCGGCGGACGGGUGAGUAAUGCCUAGGAAUCUGCCUGGUAGUGGGGGAUAACGUCCGGAAACGGGCGCUAAUACCGCAUACGUCCUGAGGGAGAAAGUGGGGGAUCUUCGGACCUCACGCUAUCAGAUGAGCCUAGGUCGGAUUAGCUAGUUGGUGGGGUAAAGGCCUACCAAGGCGACGAUCCGUAACUGGUCUGAGAGGAUGAUCAGUCACACUGGAACUGAGACACGGUCCAGACUCCUACGGGAGGCAGCAGUGGGGAAUAUUGGACAAUGGGCGAAAGCCUGAUCCAGCCAUGCCGCGUGGGUGAAGAAGGUCUUCGGAUUGUAAAGCACUUUUAGUUGGGAGGAAGAGCAGUAAGUUAAUACCUUGCUGUUUUGACGGUACCAACAGAAUAAGCACCGGCUAACUUCGUG
Molecule: ribosomal RNA, 484 nt
Filed under: uncultured bacterium
Lineage: Bacteria
Description: partial 16S ribosomal RNA
Rfam family: Bacterial small subunit ribosomal RNA
Source: RNAcentral